UACAGAGGGUGCGAGCGUUAAUCGGAAUUACUGGGCGUAAAGCGCACGUAGGCGGCAUUGCAAGUCGGUUGUGAAAUCCCCGGGCUCAACCUGGGAACUGCAUCCGAGACUGCUUUGCUCGAGUAUGGGAGAGGGAAGUGGAAUUUCCGGUGUAGCGGUGAAAUGCGUAGAUAUCGGAAGGAACAUCAGUGGCGAAGGCGACUUCCUGGACCAAUACUGACGCUCAGGUGCGAAAGCGUGGGGAGCAAACAGG
This 253-nucleotide ribosomal RNA is filed under the name uncultured bacterium. RNAcentral describes it as "partial 16S ribosomal RNA". It matches the Rfam family "Bacterial small subunit ribosomal RNA", at positions 524 to 776 of the family's 1533-position model. The record is from RNAcentral.